RNAcentral lists this ribosomal RNA (492 nucleotides) under uncultured bacterium. RNAcentral describes it as "partial 16S ribosomal RNA". It matches the Rfam family "Bacterial small subunit ribosomal RNA", at positions 29 to 507 of the family's 1533-position model. The record is from RNAcentral.
AGUGAACGCUGGCGGUAGGCCUAACAAAUGCAAGUCGAACGGCAGCACAGUAAGAGCUUGCUCUUACGGGUGGCGAGUGGCGGACGGGGGAGGAAUACAUCGGAAUCUACUUUUUCGUGGGGGAUAACGUAGGGAAACUUACGCUAAUACCGCAUACGACCUACGGGGGAAAGCAGGGGAUCUUCGGACCUUGCGCGAUUGAAUGAGGCGCUGUCGGAGUUGCUAGUUGGGGGGGGAAAGGCCCACCAAGGCGACGAUCCGUAGCUGGUCUGAGAGGAUGGACAGCCCAAAUGGAACCUGGACCCCGGCCCAGACCCCAAGGGAAGCCACAGUUGGGAAUAAUUGACAAUGGGCGCAAGCCUGAUCCAGCCAUACCGCGUGGGUGAAGAAGGCCUUCGGGUUGUAAAGCCCUUUUGUUGGGAAAGAAAAGCAGCAGGUUAAUACCCCGCUGUUCUGACGGUACCCAAAGAAUAAGCACCGGCUAACUUCGUG